AUUGAACGCUGGCGGCAUGCUUUACACAUGCAAGUCGAACGGUAACAGGCCGCAAGGUGCUGACGAGUGGCGAACGGGUGCGUAAUGCAUCGGAACGUGCCCAGUCGUGGGGGAUAACUACUCGAAAGAGUAGCUAAUACCGCAUACGAUCUAUGGAUGAAAGCGGGGGACCGUAAGGCCUCGCGCGAUUGGAGCGGCCGAUGUAAAAUUAGGUAGUUGGUGGGGUAAAGGCUCACCAAGCCAACGAUCUGUAGCUGGUCUGAGAGGACGACCAGCCACACGGGGACUGAGACACGGCCCAAACUCCUACGGGAGGCAGCAGUGGGGAAUUUUGGACAAUGGGCGCAAGCCUGAUCCAGCAAUGCCGCGGGCAGGAAGAAGGCCUUCGGGUUGUAAACUGCUUUUGUACGGAACGAAACGGCUCUGGUUAAUACCCGGGGCUAAUGACGGUACCGUAAGAAUAAGCACCGGCUAACUACGUG
Molecule: ribosomal RNA, 482 nt
Filed under: uncultured bacterium
Lineage: Bacteria
Description: partial 16S ribosomal RNA
Rfam family: Bacterial small subunit ribosomal RNA
Source: RNAcentral